This 727-nucleotide small RNA is filed under the name Pan troglodytes (chimpanzee). RNAcentral describes it as "retained intron". The record is from RNAcentral. Lineage: Eukaryota; Metazoa; Chordata; Mammalia; Primates; Hominidae.
GCAGAAUACAGACUCGCGGUGAAGGCUAUGCUAAGCCCAAUGAGGGCGCUAUCGUGGAGGGUGAGACAGUACAGUCUGGGCUUUCAAUUCUCAUUCUGAUAUUUAGGCCUUGUGUGGCUUUGGGCAAGUCACUUCCCUUCUCCGAGCCUAUCUUCUUGUCCAUAAAAUGAUGGGUUGGACCAUAUUCUCUUCAUAUCACUCCAGAUUUGAGAACACAGGAGAAUCUUGGGAUGAUGGGGGUGAUGCAGGGAGGCUGAUGGCAUCCUUCCUCAGUCACCUGCCCUCUUACAACUCUGGUACACUGCCUCUCUUUCAUGCCAGUUGCACUGGAAGGGUACUACAAGGACCAGCUCUUUGACCAGCGGGAGCUCCGCUUUGAGAUUGGCGAGGGGGAGAACCUGGAUCUGCCUUAUGGUCUGGAGAGGGCCAUUCAGCGCAUGGAGAAAGGAGAACAUUCCAUUGUGUACCUCAAGCCCAGCUAUGCUUUUGGCAGUGUUGGGAAGGAAAAGUUCCAAAUCCCACCAAAUGCUGAGCUGAAAUAUGAAUUACACCUCAAGAGUUUUGAAAAGGCCAAGGAGUCUUGGGAGAUGAAUUCAGAAGAGAAGCUGGAACAGAGCACCAUAGUGAAAGAGCGGGGCACUGUGUACUUCAAGGAAGGUAAAUACAAGCAAGCUUUACUACAGUAUAAGAAGAUCGUGUCUUGGCUGGAAUAUGAGUCUAGUUUUUC